This 224-nucleotide ribosomal RNA is filed under the name uncultured bacterium. Its description in RNAcentral is "partial 16S ribosomal RNA". It matches the Rfam family "Bacterial small subunit ribosomal RNA", at positions 524 to 745 of the family's 1533-position model. The record is from RNAcentral.
UACGAAGGGGGCUAGCGUUGCUCGGAAUCACUGGGCGUAAAGGGUGCGUAGGCGGGUCUUUUAAGUCAGGGGUGAAAUCCUGGAGCUCAACUCCAGAACUGCCCUUGAUACUGAGGAUCUUUGAGUUCGGGAGAGGUGAGUGGAACUGCGAGUGUAGAGGUGAAAUUCGUAGAUAUUCGCAAGAACACCAGUGGCGAAGGCGGCUCACUGGCCCGAUACUGACG